RNAcentral lists this ribosomal RNA (502 nucleotides) under uncultured bacterium. Its description in RNAcentral is "bacterial SSU rRNA". It matches the Rfam family "Bacterial small subunit ribosomal RNA", at positions 45 to 521 of the family's 1533-position model. The record is from RNAcentral.
UGCUUAACACAUGCAAGUCGAACGGAAACAGGACGCUGUGAUCUCUUCGGAGUGAACUUGUCGCUGUCGAGUGGCGGACGGGUGAGUAAUGCAUAGGAAUUUGCCUUGAAGUGGGGGAUAGCCCGGAGAAAUCCGGAUUAAUACCGCAUGUACUCUACGGAGUAAAGCGGGCCUCUUCUUGAAAGCUCGCGCUUUGAGAUAAGCCUAUGUCGGAUUAGCUUGUUGGUGGGGUAAAGGCCUACCAAGGCGACGAUCCGUAGCUGGUUUGAGAGGAUGAUCAGCCACACUGGGACUGAGACACGGCCCAGACUCCUACGGGAGGCAGCAGUGGGGAAUAUUGGACAAUGGGCGCAAGCCUGAUCCAGCAAUGCCGCGUGUGUGAAGAAGGCCUGCGGGUUGUAAGGCACUUUUAUCGGGAAAGAAAUGCCUAAGGUUAAUACCCUUGGGACUUGACGGUACCCGUUGAAUAAGCACCGGCUAACUCCGUGCCAGCAGCCGCGGU